CAACGCCACCAAAAAAAAUUACAAUAAAAAUUGCUGUUAAUGUAAUUUCAUUUCAUAAAACUGCUGCUGAGCAUCCUCAGGUCCUGAUAAUCCAAGGAAAACAGGCCUGGAAGCGAAACCAGCAAUUUUAUCCAUGGGAAUGAAGGGAAUGAGGGGAUUGAGGGGAAUGAGGGGAAUAAAUGGAAUAAAGGAAUGAGGGGAAUGAAGGGAAUGAGGGGAAUGUGGGGAUGUGGGGAAUGAGGGGAAUGAGGGGAAUGAAGGAAUGAAGUAAUGAAGGAAUGAAGGAAUGAAGGAAUGAAGGGAAGAAUGAAGGAAUGAAGGAAUGAAGGAAUGAAGGAAUGAAGGAAUGAUGGAAUGAAUGAAGGAAUGAAGGGCUCUCCCAAUCCCAUUCUGGGGUUCUGUGUCGAGUUUCCCCUCUCCCAGUCAGGAAUGACAUCCCAGUAUUUAAACAGAGCCCUCAUCAAACAUAACACAGAGCCUCUCUUUCCAAGAGUUCAUAAUUCCUGGAAAUUCCAAAUGCCACUGGGAUAACCCACGGGAGCUCCAGGUUGUGCUGAGGGAAUAUUAAAAGUUGGAUUUGUUGUUCCAAAACAGCUGCAAAUCCUCUCCUGGGCUCAUCCAAACUUUCCUCUCUGUUGUGAAGAGCUUCCCACACUCAGGAACUCCCACUGGGAUAAACAUUCCUUGAGAUUCCCAACCACCCCUUGAGGAGAUUCCCAAAUAUCCCUUGAGGAGAUUUCCAGCCAUCCCUAGGGAAGAUUCCCAUUGCUGGGAUAAACACAGCCUCAGUUCCACGUGCCUCAACUCUGUCCUGGCUUAAUUAAGAACUUUAUAACUCUGAGGAUAUUGGAAUUAGACCUGGUUAUUUUAUUUUAUUUUAUUUUAUUUUAUUUUAUUUUAUUUUAUUUUAUUUUAUUUUAUUUUAUUUUAAUUUAUUUUAUUUUAUUUUAUUUUAUUUUAAUUUAUUAUAUUUUAUUUUAUUUCAUUUCAUUUCAUUUCAUUUCAUUUUUUAUAUUUUAUUUUAUUUCAUUAUUUUAAUUUCAUUUUUUUGUAUUUUAUUUUAAUAUUGCAUUGUAUUUUAUUUUAAUGUUUUAUUUAAUUUUAUUUUAAGAU
Molecule: long non-coding RNA, 1113 nt
Filed under: Parus major (Great Tit)
Lineage: Eukaryota; Metazoa; Chordata; Aves; Passeriformes; Paridae
Description: lncRNA (ENSPMJG00000009289.1)
Source: RNAcentral